AUUGAACGCUGGCGGCAGGCUUAACACAUGCAAGUCGAGCGGGGUGAUGGUGCUUGCACUAUCACUUAGCGGCGGACGGGUGAGUAAUGCUUAGGAAUCUGCCUAUUAGUGGGGGACAACAUCUCGAAAGGGAUGCUAAUACCGCAUACGUCCUACGGGAGAAAGCAGGGGAUCACUUGUGACCUUGCGCUAAUAGAUGAGCCUAAGUCGGAUUAGCUAGUUGGUGGGGUAAAGGCCUACCAAGGCGACGAUCUGUAGCGGGUCUGAGAGGCAGAUCCGCCACGCUGGGACUGAGACACGGCCCAGACUCCUACGGGAGGCAGCAGUAGGGAAUAUUGGACAAUGGGGGGAACCCUGAUCCAGCCAUGCCGCGUGUGUGAAGAAGGCCUUAUGGUUGUAAAGCACUUUAAGCGAGGAGGAGGCUCUUUUGGUUAAUACCCAAGAUGAGUGGACGUUACUCGCAGAAUAAGCACCGGCUAACUCUGUGCCAGCAGCCGCGGUAA
RNAcentral lists this ribosomal RNA (503 nucleotides) under uncultured bacterium. RNAcentral describes it as "partial 16S ribosomal RNA". It matches the Rfam family "Bacterial small subunit ribosomal RNA", at positions 30 to 523 of the family's 1533-position model. The record is from RNAcentral.